GUGGCGGAUUCCGAAAAGCCGAUAGAGUAGGAC
RNAcentral lists this non-coding RNA (33 nucleotides) under unclassified sequences. The record is from RNAcentral.